AAAGGAAAAGUGUGCAGUGUUGGAAAACGAACAAAGGUACGGGGAUGACCAAAUUAGAUUAGAUGAAAUUUUCAUUAUGGAAACGGAAGUAAAUUUCAUUGUUCUAAGGCAUACUUUUGGGAUGAAAUGCUUUUCACUUCCGAUAUGAUUGUAAACGCGUACUCGUAUUAAAAAAUGGAGAAAUUGAUCUAAUUCAAAAUCACUUUUAUUUGUUAAUGACAUAUUUCUACCAUUAUAAAGAAGCUACGUUUAGUUUUCUAAUUACACAAAGCUAUAUUUAUGUUAUUUUAUUUCUUCUCCUUAGCGUGUAACUUGGAGUUAAUCAUAUCUUUGAAUU
Long non-coding RNA from Ceratitis capitata (Mediterranean fruit fly), 337 nucleotides. RefSeq lists it as uncharacterized. NCBI's taxonomy places the organism in Eukaryota, Metazoa, Arthropoda, Insecta, Diptera, Tephritidae. The record is from RefSeq and is a predicted model, not a curated record. The transcript is spliced from 2 exons.